Grus americana (Whooping crane) is the source of this 1335-nucleotide long non-coding RNA. RefSeq lists it as uncharacterized. The record is from RefSeq and is a predicted model, not a curated record. The transcript has 2 exons. NCBI's taxonomy places the organism in Eukaryota, Metazoa, Chordata, Aves, Gruiformes, Gruidae.
AGCACAUUUGCCUUACCGUCUCCUGAAUGACCCUCUAACCGCAUAGCCUGCACGCUUGGCUGAGGAUGUGUGUGCAGAAGGUAAUGAGGAUGAAACUGGAUCCAUCUUCCUGUCAUUGUGGCUGAUGGCCUGGCUGGAAGGUGUUGCUGGAGACUUGUGCCGUCAGGACACUGGUGGGGUUGCAGGUGGCAGGUAUGGGCCCUGCAUAGGUGAUUAGGGAAAACCCUCUUGGGUAUCUGUGAGCUGGUUUUGAUCCUGCACCUGUGGGUGUCAAAUGUCUUGAUCAGUCUCUGAAGAGGAGGAUAGGACAUCAGAGAGAGAAGGGGUGACAGACAGGAGGAAAAGGGACUGGAGGCUAGGCUUUGGAGAGAAAGAGGGGCAGUCCCAGAGAGAGGAAAUGUGGAAAAGGGAGGUAAUAGCCAUAUGAUGUAUGGAAGAAGUACAUCAAGUUCAUGGUUCAUUAAGUUCAUUUUGCCUGUGCCCCUUCUACUUGUUUGCUUUUCAUCUCGUACAGAGCGUUAGCAUAAUCCGUUUGUGAAUGACAUAACUAUAUAAUCGAUCAUCCCCUAUAGAAGUAUUGCAUGAGGCGCCCACCGUGUCGCCUCUGCGUGAGGGCUGGGCGAGGAAGUGAGUCAGGGGCAGCCCCGGUGCAGCAGCCGGUGUCUGCCCUCGCUGCCUGGCUGAGCGCUGCACUGGAAUUUUCCAGGUAGGGCAUGGGGAGAGGUGAGAGGGAGAGCGCGUGGGAUGGGAUUUGGACAGGGAAGAGCUCGUCCUGGGGAGAACUGCCACUGUGCCAAGCUUCUGGUACGUGAGGGAACACCAAACGAUAUGAAUAAAUUGGGGAAAAAAAUGCAGCGGAUGCAUUUUAAAAUAUCUAAUGCCGCCUCUGCAUUUUAUUACCUUUUCAUUACCAUUUUCCUUUAUUAAUUUGAAACAUACACUGACUUUUUUUUCCUCUCUCUCCAGUGUGGAUUUCAACACAUUUUUGUGCAUGUGCCAAGAACACUGUGUUCUGUUAAGUCACGGGGUGACGUAGGGUGCUGGCCAACCGCCAACCUGGGUCAAGUUCAUUCAAAUAAGUUUCAGUGGUGGCUUUUGCUGCCUGAGCCCCGUCAGUCCUGCUUUCGCAUGUGUGUAACAACCUCAAGAAUAGCAGAGUGUUUUAAAAGAUACGGAAAUAUAUCUUAAGGGAGGAGCAGCAAUGGAACUACGGGAUCACUUGAAAGAAUGCUUGGAAAAAAAUGGAGAUGACAGGACUCAUAAAAUUGUUCUUGGGACUUGACCACUGAGUUAUGUUGGGCAAAGGAUGGUGAUUAAAAACUGUGCACGUACAAA